Non-coding RNA from Peromyscus maniculatus bairdii (prairie deer mouse), 692 nucleotides. The record is from RefSeq and is a predicted model, not a curated record. Lineage: Eukaryota; Metazoa; Chordata; Mammalia; Rodentia; Cricetidae.
AGGAAGGAAAAAAGAAAGAAAAAAGGACACAAUAUGUGGGGAGAUGGCCUCGCAGUUAAGAGCACUUGGGUUAAGUUCCUAGCACCCACAUGGUAGCUCACAGCUGUAACUCCAGCUCUAGAGAAUUUGAUACUGUCUUUUAACCUCCACAAGCACCAGGUAAUCACUUUAUUAUGACAUGGGCCACUUACUCAACUAAGCGGGGUUCACAUGGGCUCACAGAGACUGAAAAGCAAGCUCAGUGAAAAAGGAUGAAGACUCAUAUGAAAGCAGAAGUGAGAAAGACAGCCAGCUUACAGAUGCAGAUGUGGCACCACACAGCAGUCAAGCUUGAAAACAAAAGCCAUGAGGCGGCCCCAAGAAGGACCACAACUGAGCAGUAUGACAGCCAAUGUUCAUAAAAUGCACUUGACUCUGGAUUAUCAUAGAGUUAUAUAACAUUCCUCUAUAAGAAGCCUUCUCCCAUACAAGGAUUUAUAAACUUAGUAAGACUCAAGGAAGGAAACAGGCUUCUUGAUGGUGUUCUCAAUCUCAAACACCUCUCAAAUGCCAACAGUGCGAGUGAGUCAAAGCCAUGAUGGUUUGAACUAAAUCUACAUGACCAAAGGACAAUGGAAAUGAAGCUCUGGAGGCAGUGACAGACAAUGGGAACUGAGAAGUUGAUGGACAGCAGCUCUACCAGAGAUAAUAUU